Molecule: long non-coding RNA, 305 nt
Filed under: Prunus persica (peach)
Lineage: Eukaryota; Viridiplantae; Streptophyta; Magnoliopsida; Rosales; Rosaceae
Description: long non-coding RNA (PPER_LNC001496)
Source: RNAcentral
GAUGAUGGGAUGAAGGUGAAAGCAGUAACCAUCUGCCAUCUAGACACAUCAGAAUGGGACCCAGAGCAUUUGUCCUUCCAAAUCCUCAACGUUAAGCCCGGAACCACUCCCAUCUGCCAUUUCCUUACCACUGAUGCUAUUGCCUGGGUUCCAAAACACAAAUCUGCAUGAUCAUCACUUAGCACUGUACGUGUAAUAAGCUUGGUCGGGUUGCACCCUAGGCCUGCAUAAUUAUCUCCCUACUUAUUUCUGCCUCUUCAUCAUGCGGUGUAAGAUAUAUGAUGAGAUGAAGUUUUCUCUUGUAA